RNAcentral lists this long non-coding RNA (3659 nucleotides) under Homo sapiens (human). RNAcentral's name for it is "non-protein coding LINC01181:2". Lineage: Eukaryota; Metazoa; Chordata; Mammalia; Primates; Hominidae. The record is from RNAcentral.
AUUCUUCUUGUCUGCUGCCAUAUGAGAUGUACCUUUCACCCUCCACCAUGAUUGUGAGGCCUCUCCAGCCACAUGGAACUGACAGCACAUGUGGCUUUCCUGCAAUGGGAUCGUCCUUCAAGAGGACCUCACAGGCUCUCCACCCGGACUGUGACGUAAGCAGCUGCAGCAGCCUUGGAUGUUUCUGGAUAGCCAGCCCCAUGAGAACAGCUUUAAAAUAGGAGACUGGCAUUGUGAUGAAGUGUGGACUUCGCUGUCAUAUAGACCUGGAUUUAAAUCCUGGCUUCAGUGUUUAUGGAUGACGUUGGACAAGUCAUUUAACCUCCUUAAGUCUCAGAGUUCUCAUUACGGAAAUGGAGCUCUUAAUAGUACCUACCCCCUAGUGUGGUUGUGAGGGUUGAGAUCAUCUAUGUUCAAAGUGCUUAUUAUACAGAGACGGGGACAUGUAAGUGCUACAUAAAUGUUAGCUUUUAUUAGUCACUGGAGUGGAGGAGAGAGGACUGUUGCCUCCUUGUCAAUGUCCCCAUCCUGGGAAGCCUGCCUGUGUGCACCAAGGCCCAUCUGACCCAUAUAUCAGAAAAGGUGCCCUUCUAGGGAGCGACACCCCCCACCAAGCCCCCCAGUCGCUGUCCAUGCUUUCCUCUAGGUUCAAAAUGCAGCUGCAUCUGUGCAGAAACCAGGUGUUGCCUGUGAGUUCUGCCUCGCUGGCCAGAGGUGGAAGGAAGGAGGAAAGGAGAGGGGCCUCCAUACUUCCAGAGCCCCACUGGGGGUUACCUUCGCUUGCCCCCACUCUUUUUGUCUUGCUCUGAGGAUGCCAGGACUUUAAGGACAUUGUCAGCGAGCACGUAAGUUCACCCCUGCAAGGUCAAAGGCAGGACAGAAAGAAGACCCAAAGGUCCCAGUUAGUCAAGGAAAAACAAUCACAAGAAUAAAACAUUUUUAAAGAUUAAAAUAAUAGCUGCCAUCUGUUGAGCAGUUGCUAUGUGUUAGGACUUGUGUGAAACAUGUUCACACAGUCUCUCUGCUUCCUCACAAUACUGUGAAGUAGGUAUUGUGCUUAAUUGAACAUAGGUUCAUUUAAGAAAACAAAUGUAAAUAUCAUUCUAAUCCUUGAUUUAAUUACCUCAAAUUCAGGCAGAAGCAGAUCAGCCCACCCUAAUGGGCAGUGUACCAGGAGCUUCGUGUGUAGGGACAACUUUCACCUUCAAAAUGCCCUGCGGGCUGCCUCAGCUUCUUUUCCACCAGCCCCUGGGCUCCCAGCUGUCUCAAGAGGCAGUGUUUUGCUGGGUAGUUACAGUGAAAGACCGGAUUGUCCUGCUCAUGUUACCCCCGUCUCCCUAUUUACUAUAAUCAGGAAGUCAUGUUUUUCAUUUAGGAUAAGGCAAUUACUCUUCUGUUGACUGAAGUCCAGCAAAAAGCAAACUGAAUCUCAUUUCCACAUUAAUGCAAUGGGGGCAGGAUGGAGAGGCAGCCUGAUUUCCUGGUGUCUCAGCCUCUCUCUUCUAUAUCUGUAUCUCCUCUGAUGGAAGCAUCUGUCGUAAUAGCAACAACCAAGAUAGCAUUGAGAGAGUAAACUAUUGUAGUCCCUUUCCCUCAUCUUGGGAAAUGAUGAAUAAAAGUCACCAUCUGCUCCCCUGAGCCUUGCUGUGGUGCGACCUAACUUUACACGCAAGUACAACGAAUGACCUGCCCCAUCCUAAGAAGCAGUAGAAUAAUAUGAAAAAGACUUUUUUUUCUGCUCUGCCUGGGUAGACAAGCAACUCUUUGCCAAGGGAAAGGAAUAAGACAUAUCAUGUCUCUUUAAUGAUUGAAGAUCCAGGUUAACUGUGGUAGAAUUAAGCAAAGAGCAAACAAAUGUUCUGAAUGUGUUUUCUUUUCUCUCAGAGAAAGAAUCUCAGUCAUCUGGACUGCUUUGUGCUAUAUGAAAAUCUCUGAGAACCUUCAAGAGCCCAAAAACAGUUCUCCUCCAUGCUGUAUGCCAUGGUCAGUGGUUAAAGAGAACAUUUUGUUCCACUCCUCCAGCUCUGCCUUAGAAACCCAAGCCCUGCACUCCAAGGCUCCUGGCAUCGUACACCAGCACCAGCAAUUUUCUGCCAAAAGCAUCAGCCAAAAUCUAUUCUAUCUAUUUCAGUUCCUCUCUUUUCAUCGGAUUGUAUUUUUACAGGUGAUUGCUGAUUCUCACACUGCUCUUCAGAUUCAUGUACAGCUGUGGUCUGAAUGUGUGUGUUUUCUCAAAAUUCAAGUUUAAAACUUAAUCCUCAAUGUGAUAGUAUCAACAGCUGCGGCCUUUUGGAAAGUGAAGGUGGAGCCCUCGUGAGUGGGAUUAGAGCUCUUAUAAAAGAGAUUGAAGGGAGCUACCUAGCCCUUCCAUCUCUUCUGCCUUGUGAGGACACAGUGUUCAUCCCUUUUGUCUUCCCACCAUUUGAAGAUGCAGAAAGAAGGUGCCAUCUUGGAAGCAAAGAGCAGCCCUCACCAGACACCAAGUCUGCUGGCACCUUGAUCUUGGACUUCCCAGCCUCCAGGACUGUGAGAAAUGAAUUUCUGUUGUUUAUAAAUUACCUAGUCUAAGGUAUGCUGUUACAGUAGCAGGAAUGGACUAAGACACACAUUGUCAAAAUCUUCAUGAGUUAAAGGUGAAGGUACAAUCAGAACUGGUGCAUGGAAUUGGAACCAUAGGUCUUAGUAAACACUGUAAAAAUGCACUAUUCAAAUCUACAGAAAAUGCUCUCUCUUCAAGUUCAGAAAGAAGCUACAAUCUGCUUUUCCUUUUUUUCUGAAGGGAAGUAAAAUUCUAUGUUUCUGGACUAAGAGGUCUACACCCCAGUCUUUCUCUUUCUGACAUGUAUAGUAAUCUUUGGCAAAUUACUCAAGCUUUCUUUGUUCUGGUGAAAAUAAAGUGCACAGGACAGUAUUACUAAGAGGCCUGAGCAACAUUAGAGGUUGAUAACGAUGGUUCCAAAGGCCUUUAAGAAGGUGUAAUGCUAUGUGGAUGUUUUUAUUGAAACCUUCCCUGGGUUUUCAGAAUUCUCUUUGGAAUUAGUCCUGUGGGAAUAUGCCUUUUGGGAUCUAUUCUCACCUCUUAUUCAGUCCCCCUUUUCUUGCAUUACAAUCUACAAUUUGAAGUUAUUCUGUCAUUUAAAAAUUAGGUCCAUGACCUCAUCAUCACCGGGUUUUCCUCUCCAGGCCAUUUCCAGUAGAAUGUUGGUCAUAUUCUCAUGUGAGAGAACAAAUCAGUUAUUCAUUACAUCUGAUCAAUGAGCUAGUACUACACCAUAAGGAAGUGUAGUAAAACCAGAAACUGGGAAACACCCGAAAAAAUUUGCUUUGUCCUGUGUUUUAAUUUGGGGUAUGAUAAAGUGCCACAGGACAUUAAUCCAGGGACUGAGAUAGACUCUUAAGUUUGGCAAUCAGUGAAAGAACUUGCUGAAUCUCUCUAGAAUUAACCUAAAGGAGCCAGCCUCUUUUCUCAUGAGAACAAUUUAUUUUAGGGUUAGUGGUGAAUUAAUUCUACAGUGUUUAAUUCCACAUAUAAACUUCAUUUUCUAUAUAAAUGUUUUGUUGUAACAUAUUCAAUUACUUCCUUUUGUUGUUUUUCUGCAACAUUCCCUUUUUCACCUUUUCUAACCUCUUAAACCAAAUAAAAAACUCACUUAUCUUCU